This 460-nucleotide ribosomal RNA is filed under the name uncultured bacterium. RNAcentral describes it as "partial 16S ribosomal RNA". It matches the Rfam family "Bacterial small subunit ribosomal RNA", at positions 338 to 795 of the family's 1533-position model. The record is from RNAcentral.
CCUACGGGAGGCAGCAGUGAGGAAUAUUGGUCAAUGGACGAGAGUCUGAACCAGCCAAGUAGCGUGAAGGAUGACUGCCCUAUGGGUUGUAAACUUCUUUUAUAUGGGAAUAAAAUGUUCCACGUGUGGGAUUUUGUAUGUACCAUAUGAAUAAGGAUCGGCUAACUCCGUGCCAGCAGCCGCGGUAAUACGGAGGAUCCGAGCGUUAUCCGGAUUUAUUGGGUUUAAAGGGAGCGUAGGUGGAGUGUUAAGUCAGUUGUGAAAGUUUGCGGCUCAACCGUAAAAUUGCAGUUGAAACUGGCAGUCUUGAGUACAGUAGAGGUGGGCGGAAUGCGUGGUGUAGCGGUGAAAUGCUUAGAUAUCACGAAGAACUCCGAUUGCGAAGGCAGUUCACUGGACUGCAACUGACACUGAGGCUCGAAAGUGUGGGUAUCAAACAGGAUUAGAUACCCUUGUAGUC